UACGUAGGGUGCGAGCGUUGUCCGGAAUUAUUGGGCGUAAAGAGCUCGUAGGCGGUCUGUCGCGUCUGCUGUGAAAUCCCGAGGCUCAACCUCGGGCUUGCAGUGGGUACGGGCAGGCUAGAGUGCGGUAGGGGAGAAUGGAACUCCUGGUGUAGCGGUGAAAUGCGCAGAUAUCAGGAGGAACACCGAUGGCGAAGGCAGGUCUCUGGGCCACUACUGACGCUGAGAAGCGAAAGCAUGGGGAGCGAACAGG
Molecule: ribosomal RNA, 253 nt
Filed under: uncultured bacterium
Lineage: Bacteria
Description: partial 16S ribosomal RNA
Rfam family: Bacterial small subunit ribosomal RNA
Source: RNAcentral